CGGUGUCUGGUCCAUAAAGUUGUUCUCUGGUGAGAGAAUGAGCUGGCUCCUGGCCACGAUGGUCUUCUUCAUGGGGAAGUCCCACACGGCACAAUCUGCCACAUGGUGUUUAGCUCCUUGGCCCCGGAACCCACUGAAAUGGAAGCUUCUGGAAAAUGCACAGGUCAAGUCCUCUCCCAGGGCUUCAGAUCUUUCUGCACCCAGCAUGAGCCGCAUGGUUCUUCUCCUUCCUUUCAGGAGACGACUACACUUGAGAUUCAAGAACUGGCUUGGAUCCCUAAGGGCAUGGAAGGCCUCCUCUGCUGGUGGAAGGAAGUCUCUGACAAUGAGCUCACAGCCGGAUCCAGGAGAACUACCCAUAAACACACAGCUGUGAGGGCCCAGCAGGACUUUGUAAACCAUCUAACCUGGUGAAUCAAGGAAGACUUCCUGGAGGAAGAGAUAUUUAGGCUGAGAUCAGAAAGUCUCAGUAAAGUAAGAAUAAUCAGGUGAAAGGUUAGGGGUGGGAGAGAGAAGAUGGUUUUGUUUCAGGGUAAACAGAUGGAGCAAAGACCUGGAAGGAAGAUGCAACACAGCGGUCUAGGGAGCAGAAAAAUAUCUUUAAAUUAAUUUUUUAAAUUUGGCCUGGCCCACGACUUUUGGAAGUUCCCCAGGCCAGGAAUCAAACCAGCGUCACAGCUGUAACAGAACCACAGUAGUGACAAUCCUGGCUCCUUAACCCACUGAGCCACCAGUGAGCUCUGUAAGAUCUUUAAAUCUUUCAUAGUAGGCCAUGGAGAGUCUCAUUUUGAUGUAUUAAUUUAUCCAUUCAUUUAUCAGAAAUUUGGGGUCUACCAUGUGCCAUAGGUAGGUGCUGCGGAUGCAGCUGAACGCACAGAUAAUCACUCCUCCCCAUGGAGUUGACAUUCUAGUGGUUGGAGAUGGGCAAGAAACAAAUAUGUCAGGUGAUGAGAAAUAAAGCAAGUUCAGGGGAUAGAGUGACAGGGUGCUAUCUUGUGAUCAGGGAAGGGCCUCUCUGAGGAGGUGACACUUGAAUCCCUAACUGAGUUGAAGGAGGGAGACAUGUAGAUAGAAAAAGUGUUCUAGGCAGAUGCAACAGUAAGUGCAAAGGCCCUGAGAUAGAAGUAUGUAUAGAGUGUUUAAGAAACAACAAAGAGGAGUUCCCACUGUCGUACAGUGGGUUAAGGAUCUGGCAUUGCUGCAGCUAUGGCUCAGAUUUAAUCCCUGGCCUGGGAACUUCCAUAUGCUGUGGGUGUGGAGAAAAAAAAAAAAAAAAAAAAAGAAAAGAAAAACAAAGAAGGAAGGAAGAAAGAAAUACAAAAGAGGGUCAUGCUCUGAGAAUGGAGUGAGUGAUGGGAAGAGAGUGGGAGAUAAUUAGAAAUGAAUAUCCAGGGAUCAGGAUAUGUAAGAGGCCUCAUGGUUGUGGUUUUGAAUCUAAAUUAGAGAGGAAAUCCUUGGAAAGUUUUGAAAUGGGGAGAGACAUUUUCUUUCUGUUUCAACAGAAUUAGUCUGCGGAUGUCCUUUGUUACUAUGACUUGAAAUCCAAAAGUAACAAGAACAACAAAGAUGAGUAAUUCUGAAACAUAAAAAUAAGACCAAAUAUCACCACAGAAAAGUUAAAAAAAAAACUGGGAGAAAAUAUUUGCACUUCAUAUUAUAGACUCCCUAAUGUCCAUCAUAUGUAAAGAGUUUCUCAGAAUGAAUAAUAAAAUAUAUACAAUCCCAGAGGGAAAAACUUGAGCAAAAAGUAUAGUCAGAAUGUCCACUGAGAAUGAAACACAAAAGUUCUUUAAUACAUGAAAUGAUACUGGGCCUCUCAUAAGCUUCGUGCCAGUUAAAAUAAGAGAAACAUGUAAUACUAAUUUUUAUAAAACUUUGGAAAGAUCAAUAAUGCCCAGGAUGCUGAGGCUGUGGGGAAGCGAGCUAGUUAACAUGUGGACAUCAGUCCUCCCCAGUGGAGAUGAAUUUGAUGAUGUUCAUAAAAAUUACACUCUCAUACUAAGUGAAGUAAGUCAGAAAGAGAAAGAUAAAUACUUUAUGAUAUCACCGAUAUCUGGAAUCUAAUAUACAGCACAAAUGAACCUUUCCAC
Molecule: long non-coding RNA, 2090 nt
Organism: Sus scrofa (pig)
Lineage: Eukaryota; Metazoa; Chordata; Mammalia; Artiodactyla; Suidae
Source: RefSeq, a predicted model, not a curated record